CUUAAGUCGGAUGUGAAAUCCCUGAGCUUAACUNANUUUNUUGCAUUCGAUACUGGGAAGCUAGAGUAUGGGAGAGGAUGGUNGAAUUCCAGGUGUAGCGGUGAAAUGCGUAGAGAUCUGGAGGAAUACCGAUGGCGAAGGCAGCCAUCUGGCCUAAUACUGACGCUGAGGUACGAAAGCAUGGGGAGCAAACAGGAUUAGAUACCCUGGUAGUCCAUGCCGUAAACGAUGUCUACUAGCCGUUGGGGCCUUUGAGGCUUUAGUGGCGCAGCUAACGCGAUAAGUAGACCGCCUGGGG
RNAcentral lists this ribosomal RNA (298 nucleotides) under uncultured bacterium. RNAcentral describes it as "partial 16S ribosomal RNA". It matches the Rfam family "Bacterial small subunit ribosomal RNA", at positions 582 to 878 of the family's 1533-position model. The record is from RNAcentral.